AUUAAGCCAUGCAUGUCCAAGACUAAACAAGUUGUCAGUGAAUCUGCGUAUGGCUCAUUACAAGAAUCAUCAUUUACCCGAGCACCAACUUACAAUUGGAUAACCGUUGUAAUUCAAGGGCUAAUCAUGCACCCAAGGUAUGCGCGUUUACGUGCAUACUGCAUUUGUUAGACCAAAAUCAACCGGGGCAACCCGUUUCAGGUGAUUCAUGACAAAUUGCGGAUCCUGGAUGACUCCAGGACGACUCGGUCAAGUCUUUCCCCUAUCAGGUUUCGAAGGCAGUGUAUUGAACUGUCUUGCCGUUGACGGGUAACGGAGAAUUAGGGUUCGAUUCCGGAGAGGGAGCCUGAGAGACGGCUACUACAUCUAAGGAAGGCAGCAGGCGCGCAAAUUUCCCAAUGCUCAUCGAGCGAGGAAGUGACGAUCAAUAACAAUGCGCGACGUUUACGUUGUGCAAUUGGAAUGACUACAAUUUAAACUAUUUAAGGAGGAUCAAUUGGAGGGCAAGUCUGGUGCCAGCAGCCGCGGUAAUUCCAGCUCCAAUAGGAUAUAUCAAAGUUGUUGCAGUUAAAAAGCUCGUAGUUGAAUUUCUGCUGGGAUUUUGUGCGAGUUCUUUUGGGGGCAUCCCCGAAGGAAGAUUGCCACCCGGCAUUUUGUGGAAAUCGGUUUGUGCGUGGUUGACUCCACGUAUGAAUCCCACUCCGUUACUGAGAGCAAAGUGGAGUGCUCAAAGCAGGCCUUACGGCUUUGAACAUUUUAGCUUGGAAUAACAAAAAAGGACCUAGUUCUAUUUUGUUGGUUCACAGAAUCAGGUAAUGAUUAACAGGAACAGUUGCGGGGGUACUCGUAUUUCACAGUCAGAGGUGAAAUUCUUGGAUUUGUGAAAGACGAACGACUGCGAAAGCAUUUACCAAGGAUGUUUUCAUUAAUCAAGAACGAAAGUUUGGGGAUCGAAGAUGAUUAGAUACCAUCGUAGUCCAAACCAUAAACGAUGCCGACUCGGGAUUGGCGCUCGAUUUACAUAUCUGCGUCAGCACCGUAUGAGAAAUCAAAGUCUUUGGGUUCCGGGGGGAGUAUGGUCGCAAGGCUGAAACUUAAAGGAAUUGACGGAAGGGCACACCAGAUGUGGAGCCUGCGGUUUAAUUUGACUCAACACGGGGAAACUUACCAGGUCCAGACAUGAUGAGGAUUGACAGUUUGAAAGCACUUUCUUGAUUUCAUGGGUGGUGGUGCAUGGCCGUUCUUAGUUGGUGGAGUGAUUUGUCUGGUUGAUUCCGAUAACGAACGAGACGGGAGGGUUUAACUGGUUGUGUUGGUAAUUCGCGUUACCAACGGCCUCUUAUACCGACAACUCGGUUUUACCGAGAGGAAGCGUCCCGCAAUAACAGGUCUGUGAUGCCCUUAGAUGUUCUGGGCUACACGCGCGCUACAAUGACGAAUUCAACGAGUUUCUUCCUUGCCCGAGAGGGUGUGGGUAGUCUUUUCAAUGUUCGUCGUGAUGGGGCUAGAUUUUUGCAAUUAUUAAUCUUCAACGAGGAAUAUCUAGUAUGUGCAAGUCAUCAGCUUGCGCAGAAUGCGUCCCUGCCCUUUGUACACACCGCCCGUCGCACCUACCGAUUGGACGAUCCGGCAAGAUGUUUGGAGUCGGUUUUCUUGGGGGUAACCUGAGAAAGUGACAAAGUUCUCAAACCU
This 1692-nucleotide ribosomal RNA is filed under the name uncultured freshwater eukaryote. RNAcentral describes it as "SSU rRNA". It matches the Rfam family "Eukaryotic small subunit ribosomal RNA". The record is from RNAcentral.